Vidua chalybeata is the source of this 961-nucleotide long non-coding RNA. RefSeq lists it as uncharacterized. The transcript has 4 exons. NCBI's taxonomy places the organism in Eukaryota, Metazoa, Chordata, Aves, Passeriformes, Viduidae. The record is from RefSeq and is a predicted model, not a curated record.
CACUGUUGUCUAUGCAACUCUUAUACACUUUGAUUUCUUUUGGAUUGACUCCUGCACACUGACUGGGCAUGUGCUAAACGUAAUGCUUUAAUGUGGACAGUGCAGGAGCAAACGCCCAAGACUUGUGGUUCUUUUCAUUUCCUCUAUGAACAGUUUAUGGCUCCAGAUCUCUCAAAUUGACAGCAUUAAUAAUUGCAAGUUCCCCCUUCUUGUUAUCUGUGUUGGGUUUGUAAAGCCUGGUUUUUUUUGGUAGCACGGGGGCCACAAAAAGAAGCUUCUGGAAUGUCCAAUAGAGCCAGUCCCUGGUGGGUCCAAAGAUGGGCGUGCUGUUGGCCAAGGCUGAGCCAAUUAUAAAUGGUAGUUAGGCCUCUGUGAUAACAUAUUUAAGAAGAAAUCAAAGCAAAGGUGGUGGCACAUUUUUAAUUCCAGCCAAAGAAGAACAGAGUGAGAACAUGUGAGAGGAAGAGCUCUACAGAAAUUGAGCCAUCUAACCUCACAGAGGCAUGACUCCUCCUGCAUCUGACUACUUUCAAUUGCAAGUUUAUUUAACACAACAGCUGACGCUUGCCAAAGGUUAAUGAAACCCAGGUUAAUCUGUACACAAACGGAAGACAACUGCUCAAGCUUACUAAAGUUUUUGCAAGACUUGAACAACAAAGACUAUACAAGAUUGUGCAUGAAUAGAUGCUGUAAUGUCAAGGUUGGAACCAGCCCACUCCUGGCGAGUCUCUAUCCUAGGAAAGUGUUUUGCUCAUAAUAGGCUGCCUGACACUCUGACCUUUAUCACAUUUUUCUUUCCUGUCACCUUCAGGAAGGGCAGCUGUGGUGCUGUUGAUGUAUUUCAUACAUAGACAAAUAAUUUCAGAAUUACUCUGAAACACUAAAAAAUAAGCUCUUCUCUUGAUCUUGCAACAUCUCUUUUUUGCGAUUUGUACUAAAAAUAAUUAAAAAAAAAAAAAAA